UAUCACAAAUUUUAUUCAAACCUUGGUAUAAUCAAUCUUAUCUUCAACCUGAACCGGUAAAGGGAGCUUAUGCCUUAAAUGCUAAUAUUUUUCUUUCUGUCAUUGAAAGACAUACUAAAUAUAUGCUUACAAGUUUAUUAAGUAAUUACGAAACAAUAAGACACAGAAAAGUCAGUGAGAUUGUAACAUUAAUUGUUAUAAUUAACAAUGCGUAUUUUAUGCAACAGUUGGGCGAGAUAAAGGAAUUUGUAAAAAAAAAGCUCAAAAGUUCAAUCAUUUCAAUUACUGAUGUUGAACUGAAGAUAGGAACACGCUGGUCUGAGAUCGAAAAACAGACAAAAUAUUUUCGAUCCUUAUUCAAUAAUUGAAUAAUUAAAUCUUUAAAACAUUAACUGUUUAGAAAUUAA
Long non-coding RNA from Camponotus floridanus (Florida carpenter ant), 407 nucleotides. RefSeq lists it as uncharacterized. The record is from RefSeq and is a predicted model, not a curated record. The transcript has 3 exons. NCBI's taxonomy places the organism in Eukaryota, Metazoa, Arthropoda, Insecta, Hymenoptera, Formicidae.